CAAUGCAGCACUACAAAGGGGACAAGCAGCAGCAGUAAUGGAUGGGAGAAGCCCAGAGGGGAUCUACUGAUCAUCUAUCGAUUUUUCUUCUCUUCACUUUGCAGGUGAAGGGGCCUCGCGGGCUGGAUAGAAUGGCCUGGCAGGCAGCAUCCAGCUCCCAGGCUGCAUUUUGCCCACCCCUGCACUAGGAUCUAUAGCUAUGAGUUAUCUCUACAGGAUUGACCUCAUCUGAAAGCCUGAGGAGAAGCCAAGUUUUCUGUGGGAGUUCAAAAGAUCUGCCUAGUCAGUUUUCUGAGGCCCAGAUCAGUGCAAGCUUCAAGCAGAAUUCUACUACUAUUGUACCAGCCUGCCAUCAUCCCCUGUACUACUGUUUGUACUGCCACAGGGCACUUGUACAUGUGACACCAUUACCAUGUACGCAGAUUUGAUGCUCCAAAAUAAACAAGUUUAAAUUUUAUAAACCUAUUUAAUUUAGUGAGGAUUAAAACCCACGGUGUGUACAUGCACCCCUAAGGACUAAACUCCCAUCACAAGUAAAAGCAUCCACAGUGACUUUGUUAGUCUGACACUCUUUAGCUUAGCUUUGUACAAGGCAGAAAUAGAGAUGCGAGGGCCCCAUGUAUCCUUCCCUCUCUUUUGGAGUUACAUUGGCUAACCCUCAUUUAUUUAAAAAUAUAUUACACAAAAUACAUUCUGUCAUUGUACAUACAGAUACAUUUCAGGCAAAUUGACUAAUUUUAUAACAAUAUGGAUGUAUUUUUGAGUGCAUUUGUAUGUUAUUAAAUCUGCAUAACUCAUACAUGGAAAAUAUUGGAAAAUACUUUCAGUGGAACUUUGUAGAUCAAGCACCAGCUAGCAAGGAGUCUGCGUUUCCUUUUGCGUGUGUCACUGGCAAAACUCAACAUAUAUACAGACCCUGCAGUCACAGAAUACCCUCACUUCUCAUUCCUAAAGGUUCUUUCAGCAGGAGUUAAAACUGAAUGAGCUGUCACAAAUUUGUGGAAGGUGUAACCCAGGUAACUUAGGUAUAUACUCCCCUUCUCCAAUUGAAGGGGAUUG
Molecule: long non-coding RNA, 1059 nt
Organism: Alligator mississippiensis (American alligator)
Lineage: Eukaryota; Metazoa; Chordata; Crocodylia; Alligatoridae
Exons: 3
Source: RefSeq, a predicted model, not a curated record